This 253-nucleotide ribosomal RNA is filed under the name uncultured bacterium. RNAcentral describes it as "partial 16S ribosomal RNA". It matches the Rfam family "Bacterial small subunit ribosomal RNA", at positions 524 to 776 of the family's 1533-position model. The record is from RNAcentral.
UACGGAGGGUGCAAGCGUUAUCCGGAUUUACUGGGUUUUAAGGGUGCGUAGGUGGAUAAUUAAGUCAGUGGUGAAAUCUUCAGGCUUAACCUGGAAACUGCCAUUGAUACUAUUUGUCUUGAAUACUUUGGAGGUAAGCGGAAUAUGUCAUGUAGCGGUGAAAUGCUUAGAUAUGACAUAGAACACCAAUUGCGAAGGCAGCUUACUACACAGUAAUUGACACUGAGGCACGAAAGCGUGGGGAUCAAACAGG